This is a small nucleolar RNA of Coffea eugenioides, 99 nucleotides long. RefSeq annotates it as small nucleolar RNA snoR113. The transcript has a single exon. NCBI's taxonomy places the organism in Eukaryota, Viridiplantae, Streptophyta, Magnoliopsida, Gentianales, Rubiaceae. The record is from RefSeq and is a predicted model, not a curated record.
UGGCAAUGAGGAAAAAAAGGCCGGACUUACGGCUGCUACCUAGUCUAUUGUUGGUAGUAGAUUGAUGAAUUUCAAGCAAGGUAUUUUUCACUGAGCCAG